UUAAGGACGCAAGGUGACCCUGCUUUUCAGGGUAAGAAGGGGUAGAGAAAAUGCCUCGAGCCGAGGUCCGAGUACCAAGCGCUGCAGCGCUGAAGUAUGAGCCCCGUGGACUAGCGAUUGCUUCUCCACGAGGCUCAUACCAGGCGCUACGACGCUGAAGUAUGUAACUGAUGCCAUACUCCCAGGAAAAGCUCGAAUGACCUUCAACAAAAGGGAACAUCUUUUGAGGAAUGGGCCAGACCCGGCCAU
This 249-nucleotide ribosomal RNA is filed under the name Triticum aestivum (bread wheat). RNAcentral describes it as "partial small subunit ribosomal RNA". The record is from RNAcentral. Lineage: Eukaryota; Viridiplantae; Streptophyta; Magnoliopsida; Poales; Poaceae.